RNAcentral lists this ribosomal RNA (207 nucleotides) under uncultured bacterium. RNAcentral's name for it is "partial 16S ribosomal RNA". It matches the Rfam family "Bacterial small subunit ribosomal RNA", at positions 568 to 774 of the family's 1533-position model. The record is from RNAcentral.
UGCGUAGGCGGCGUGGAAAGUCAGAUGUGAAAUCUGGAGGCUCAACCUCCAAAUGGCAUCCGAUACUACCAUGCUAGAGUAUUGGAGAGGGAUCUGGAAUUCUCGGUGUAGCAGUGAAAUGCGUAGAUAUCGAGAGGAACACUAGUGGCGAAGGCGAGAUCCUGGACAAUGACUGACGCUGAGGCACGAAGGCUAGGGUAGCGAACG